RNAcentral lists this unclassified non-coding RNA (426 nucleotides) under uncultured Mycena. RNAcentral describes it as "sequence contains ITS2". The stretch from base 1 to 154 matches the Rfam family "5.8S ribosomal RNA". Lineage: Eukaryota; Fungi; Basidiomycota; Agaricomycetes; Agaricales; Tricholomataceae. The record is from RNAcentral.
AACUUACGGCAAUGGAUCUCUUGGCUCUCCCACCGAUGAAGAACGCAACGAAAUGCGAUAAGUAAUGUGAAUUGCAGAAUUCAGUGAAUCAUCGAAUCUUUGAACGCACCUUGCGCCCUUUGGUAUUCCGAAGGGCAUGCCUGUUUGAGUGUCAUUAAAUUCUCAAUCUCGCAGACUUUGUUUGCGAGGCUUGGAUGUGAGGGAUUUUGCUGGCUUCCUUUGGAUGGUCUGCUCCCUUUAAAUUCAUUAGUGGGAUCCUUUGUGGAUGGUCACUUGGUGUGAUAAUUAUCUACGCCGCCUGACUCUGAAACAAGACUUGUGGGAACCUGCUUACAACUGUCUCUUUUUAGGGACUAUCUUUGACAAUUUGACCUCAAAUCAGGUAGGACUACCCGCUGAACUUAAGCAUAUCAAUAAGCGGAGGCU